AGUGAACGCUGGCGGUAGGCCUAACACAUGCAAGUCGAACGGCAGCACAGUAAGAGCUUGCUCUUACGGGUGGCGAGUGGCGGACGGGUGAGGAAUACAUCGGACUCUACUUUUUCGUGGGGGAUAACGUAGGGAAACUUACGCUCAUACCGCAUACGACCUACGGGUGAAAGCAGGGGAUCUUCGGACCUUGCGCGAUUGAAUGAGCCGAUGUCGGAUUAGCUAGUUGGCGGGGUAAAGGCCCACCAAGGCGACGAUCCGUAGCUGGUCUGAGAGGAUGGUCAGCGACACUGGAACUGAGACACGGUCCAGACGCCUACGGGAGGCAGCAGUGGGGAAUAUUGGACAAUGGGCGCAAGCCUGAUCCAGCCAUACCGCGUGGGUGAAGAAGGCCUUCGGGUUGUAAAGCCCUUUUGUUGGGAAAGAAAAGCAGCAGGUUAAUACCCCGCUGUUCUGACGGUACCCAAAGAAUAAGCACCGGCUAACUUCGUG
Molecule: ribosomal RNA, 492 nt
Filed under: uncultured bacterium
Lineage: Bacteria
Description: partial 16S ribosomal RNA
Rfam family: Bacterial small subunit ribosomal RNA
Source: RNAcentral